Globicephala melas (long-finned pilot whale) is the source of this 2388-nucleotide long non-coding RNA. RefSeq lists it as uncharacterized. The record is from RefSeq and is a predicted model, not a curated record. Lineage: Eukaryota; Metazoa; Chordata; Mammalia; Artiodactyla; Delphinidae.
CAGAAAGUGCGAAGCAGGUGACGAAGCGCUUACAGAUCUCAGCGAUGAUAAUCGCCUUUGCAUUGUACAUUUGUUCGUGGAACAGCAAGAACCAUCCUUGAACAGAAACAUAUUUCGUAUUCAGUCCGUUAUGACUGAUAUAACGUACACCUGUGGUGAGGUUACAUCUGGGCCUAGAGUUCAGUGUGUUUUACUGAUUUUUCAGCUUCUAGUAACAGGAUGCUUGCCUAAGUGGCCCGGAAGACACACUGUCUCACAUCGCCAGGAUCUGGAAAGGGGGCGGCUGCCGAACUGAUUGAUGCCGUGACUCCGUGAAGCCAUCAAAACCCGGGUCCUUUCCGCCUCCCUUGCUCUGUCAUCCUCCGUGGUGGAGAAGGACACACUUCCAGAAGUCUCCUGGAAGACUUCACUGGUUGUAUUGGGCUGAAUCUCCACUCUUAAACCAUUGAUAAAAGGAAUGGGAUUACCACACUUGGCUUAAAGAAAUCAGGAUACCCUAUCUCCUGGAGCUCAGAAGAUUGACGAGGAAUUGCCAAUGCUCUUCAUGGUGGGUGAGCCAAGUCACACGCCACAGAAAGCGUACAGGAGUUUCUGACUCUCACAGCCUCACCAACCCCUGGGAGAUGAGUCUCUACCAGUCACAUGAGUUUACAAAGUGAGCUCAUUGUUUUAAUCUGCAUUUCUGAUUACUAAUGGGAUUAAAUGCAUUUUUACAUGGUUUUUUUUACCAUUUGGGCUACCAUUUCUGCAAGUUACCUCUUCUUAUUCUUUGUCCUUGUUUUAUUUUCUCCUGCACUGAUUUGUCUUUUUGUUUUGAAUUGGGGAAGUCCUAAAAAUAUCUUGGAUAUUCAUUUUCUGUGCUUUCAAGAGGUUUUCUCUGCUGAGUGUGUGGUUUAUCUUUUUGUUUUGUCUACUGUAUCUUUGGUAAUAGAUUGUGUGGUCAUAAUGUAUAGCUAUAUAUAAUAGAUAUAAUAGAGUCUUAAAACUUUUAAUCUGUUCAAAUUUGUCAAUAUUUUUUAAUGUUUGUUUACAUCUUGUUUCAGAAUUCCUCCUUUAACAUGUUAUCCAGUUAUUAUGCUAUAUUUUCUGAGGCUUUUCUUGUCGUAUUUAACUUUUAAUCCAUAUAGUAUUUAUUUUUGUGAUUUGUGUGAAGUAGGUUUCUAAUUUUAUUUCUUCACAUAUGCACUGCCAGUUAAGAUGGUAGAGUGAUUGAAUAGUCCAUUCUUUCUCUUCUUUUUAAUGUUCAUAGGUUUGUUACUAGUUCUAUCCAGCUACACUGAUCUACUUUCUAUCUCUGCAUUAAUAAUGCAUAUUUUAAUAUUUAAUUGCUAUGGUUUUACAAGCCUUAAUUUCUUGUAGGUGAAGACACCUUGAUAUGCGUUUUCAAAAUUGUCUUUCAUAUCCAUUUCCCUCCAAGAAGUUCAGGACCACUUUGUUGAAAGUUCUGUGAAAACUCUGUUGCAUCUAUGGUUUUGAUUCUUCACCAUUCCUAAUUCGUACCAUUUGAAUAGUUUCCUUAAAUAGUUUUGCCAGAAGUUUGUCCUUUUUUUAGUCUUUUCAAAAAUUUGUUUUUGUUGAAUCUUUCUAAUUUGUGUUAUAAUUUCUUUUUUGAACCAGGAAGUAUUCAGAAUUGGUUUUUUAAUUCUCAUUUUUAUCGCAUUUUGGUCAGAAAACAUGUUCCGUAAGAUGUAGAUUUUUUUUUUUUUUGAGACUUGCUUAGUGGCUCAUUCUACUGUCAAUUUUUGUAAAUGUGCCAUGCGUGCUUGGAAAGAAUAUGGUUUCUUUGUUGUCUUCAGGGUUCUAUAAAUGACCAUUUAAUCAGUUACUGAGAAAUCUAAAAUCCCCUACUAAAAUUGUGAAUUUCUAGGUUCUUUCCAGUAAAUCCAUUUUGUUUGUUUGUUUGUUUGUUUUGAAACUAUGUCCCUAGGGGCAUAAAGGUUCAAAAUUUUUAUAUUUUUUCUGGAAAGGAUUGUUCCUUUCAUUAUUAGACAAUAAGCCUCUGUGUCCCUAAUUCUCUCUCCCUCCCUCUUAAAGUUGAUUUUACUGAUGAUUAUAUGUUUAUAUGAGGCUUUGCUGCUGUUAUUGUUAGUAUUUUUCAGAUAUUUCCUCCCCUUCAAUUCUUUUACUUUCAGUUUGUCUGUGUCACUAUGCUUUAGGUGAGCCUCUCGUUAACAACAUAUAACUAGAAAUUCAAUAUACAAUCUGUAAGUCUCUGUAUUUUAUUUGGGAAGUCGAGUUUCUUUACAUUUUUUAUGAUUACCAUUAUACUGUAUUUCAUCAAAUCUAAGUUGCCAUUUAUUAUAAGGUGCAACACCAUUUUAGUUAUCAUUAAGAAACAGAAAAAAUAUUGCAAUUAAACAGUGACACAAUGCUUAUUUGGAACUUAUU